RNAcentral lists this ribosomal RNA (408 nucleotides) under uncultured bacterium. Its description in RNAcentral is "partial 16S ribosomal RNA". It matches the Rfam family "Bacterial small subunit ribosomal RNA", at positions 28 to 526 of the family's 1533-position model. The record is from RNAcentral.
GACGAACGCUGGCGGCGUGCUUAACACAUGCAAGUCGAACGAAGUGGCGAACGGGUGAGUAAAGCGUAAUCAAACUGCCCUUCAGAGGGGGACAACAGUUGGAAAAGACUGCUAAUAACGAAUACUGAAGGUGGGGAUUGCGUCUGAUUAGCUAGUUGGAGGGGUAACGGCCCACCAAGGCGAUGAUCAGUAGCCGGUCGUAGAGUAUGACCAGCCACAUUGGGACUGAGAAACGGCCCAGACGCCUACGGGAGGCAGCAGUGGGGAAUCGUCCGCAAUUGACGAAAGUCUGACGGAGCAACGCCGCGUGAGUGAUGACGGCCUUCGGGUUGUAAAGCUCUGUUAAUCGGGACGCGGUACCGGAAUAGAAAGCCACGGCUAACUACGUGCCAGCAGCCGCGGUAAUUC